This 157-nucleotide non-coding RNA is filed under the name Parvibaculum lavamentivorans DS-1. Its description in RNAcentral is "6S / SsrS RNA". It matches the Rfam family "6S / SsrS RNA". Rfam says of the family: E. coli 6S RNA was the first non coding RNA to be sequenced, but its function was unknown until recently. It consists of 184 nucleotides that fold into an extended hairpin structure with a large single-stranded internal bulge. The record is from Rfam by way of RNAcentral. Lineage: Bacteria; Pseudomonadati; Pseudomonadota; Alphaproteobacteria; Hyphomicrobiales; Parvibaculaceae.
CGGGAUCUGCCCGGCGCGUUAGGAACACAUACUCUCGGGGCCUUACGGUCCUCAAGGGAGCUGUCCCUGAGGGAGACUGUGGUCUUCUUCACACGGCGCCCACCUACGUUAGUAGGUCUCCGGGGAACGAAGUUCCGACGGCCGUGGCGGACCCACU